Molecule: ribosomal RNA, 496 nt
Filed under: uncultured bacterium
Lineage: Bacteria
Description: partial 16S ribosomal RNA
Rfam family: Bacterial small subunit ribosomal RNA
Source: RNAcentral
GAUGAACGCUGGCGGCGUGCCUAAUACAUGCAAGUCGAGCGAACAGACGAGGAGCUUGCUCCUCUGACGUUAGCGGCGGACGGGUGAGUAACACGUGGAUAACCUACCUAUAAGACUGGGAAACUUCGGGAAACCGGAGCUAAUACCGGAUAAUAUAUUGAACCGCAUGGUUCAAUAGUGAAAGACGGUUUUGCUGUCACUUAUAGAUGGAUCCGCGCCGCAUUAGCUAGUUGGUAAGGUAACGGCUUACCAAGGCGACGAUGCGUAGCCGACCUGAGGGGGUGAUCGGCCACACUGGAACUGAGACACGGUCCAGACUCCUACGGGAGGCAGCAGUAGGGAAUCUUCCGCAAUGGGCGAAAGCCUGACGGAGCAACGCCGCGUGAGUGAUGAAGGUCUUCGGAUCGUAAAACUCUGUUAUUAGGGAAGAACAAAUGUGUAAGUAACUAUGCACGUCUUGACGGUACCUAAUCAGAAAGCCACGGCUAACUACGUG